Esox lucius (northern pike) is the source of this 1562-nucleotide long non-coding RNA. The record is from Ensembl. NCBI's taxonomy places the organism in Eukaryota, Metazoa, Chordata, Actinopteri, Esociformes, Esocidae.
GUUAGUUUUCUCAUUCCCCCUCCCUCUGUUGUUCCGUACCCAGCUUCUUCUUUUUUUGUUUUUUGCUUCCGUGUAUGUGGGUGCGUGUGUGUGCAUCGAAGGCACAGGCAAUUCAUUAGGGGGAUCUAUUUUUAUCAGUCGUAGGUUAUGUCAGGCUAUCUCUGUGCUACAUGAAUUGUAAUGAAUUGUUAACUAUGAUAGCUUCUGGCAGGGUUUUGUAUAAACUGAUGCUAUAACUGAACAAACAAUGCAUAAAAUACAGGACAUUGGAGUUGUCCUUGUUAAAUUGAUGCUGAUACACAGUGAGUGUGCUGAAAGUAGAACAUGAUUAGUACCCUUUUAUGCUAAUCUUGUUUCAAAAGAAUGAACCUGUCAUUGUGUGGGCAAAAAACUUACAUACUUCCCGACAUGGUAGGCCUACUCGCCACGAUAAUUCUGCUCAACUGUCUGUCAAAUGUUUAUGGUGCAAUUUAACAGCUUAAAUAUUGUUUGCAAUGUAACAUUUACAUAAUUGGACAAUGGGCAACAAACUACACUAUUUUAUUUUUGUAGCGUAAUUUUGACGUUUUGCUAAAUCAACGUCUUGCUUUGAUGACGUUAUGGUGAUGCCAGGUUGCUGUGACUGAGUCCUUAGGGGUACAAGUCAAGAUCAGGAUUUCGUAUUGGCACAUUAUCUGCCAUUAAGAGUCGUUCUAGUAAUUGAAAUGAUCAAAUGUAUGCCUAUGUAUUGUCAUUUAAUGAGAACAACUCACUUUCAGGUUAUAUACUUUUACAGGAUCCUUGCUGUUCGGUCCUUUUUUUCAACUAUUCGCAACACUAUUGCUAACUAUUGAAAGGAAAAUGUAGGAUAUAGGCUACGGACUUUCAGCUAAAAUGUCCACUGCUUUGUCUUUAUUUCUGCCCUAACUAAAACCUUUUCGGCUCAGCAAGCUACGCUAUUGUAGUCCACUUUAUCAGCGUCGUUUCGAAGAUGGGUGCAGAAGCCAGCCUCCGUGCUCAAUCAGCUGAGUCUUGCGUCAGGGAAAUCUGCUGCUUAGUUGCGUCGUUUUCGACCUGCGUAAGUUUUACAGUCGACUUGCCAAAGCUAAGGGCGAAGACGCGAUUGGGUAGUCAGCAUGUAACACCUGGGCAUUGUUUGUCGAAAGCAAGGGCUGUUUCUCUUAUUUUUAGAAAGCUAAUGUGUUGAAAGAGCUUCGGUGAGCGGACUAAAAUGCAUGCUCGACUUUUUUUGAGAGGGAUGCGAAGGACAUCUGCUCUGUUCUUACAUGAAAGCCAGGAGAAUGGAUUACGUGAGAUAUGGACCACAUACGUCCAAAGGGUCCCUUUUGGAACAUUCUUCUUGAAAAGGCACUGAAAAGAGGUGCAUCUCACUCUGCCUAUACGGUCAACUCUGAAGAAUGUAAGUAGUGGUCACGUUCUGAAUGGCUUCUCUUCUCCAACUCCUCUGUUCUGAAUGUUCACAGGGAGCCUUUGAUGUAUUGAACAAUAAACGUUGACAGGAAAUUGUCAUUUGUGUGUGUUGGUACAUCACAGUGCAUCAAUGGAAGCUGAGAGGAGGACAG